GCACCAAGGGCCAUGACCUCCAAACCUGCAAGAAAGUUGAGCAGAUGGCGGAGCUACAGAAAGCUGAGUACGAGCGCCGCGACAAGGAGAGAGCCCAGGGAGGUGGCGGAGGAUCCGGCAAGAAGCUUCCCGCUCGGGGAGGGCACCGCGGCAAGGCCAAGCCGCGGCAAGGAGACAAGCCUCCCCGUGGCCGCGACAAGGACGAAGAGGAAGAUGAGGAUGAUGAGAUGGAGGCAGAUGAGGCUGAUGACCAAGAGUUUCAGAAGGCAACGGAGGUGUUGUGCAUCGACGGCGGAGCCUCUCUGCACACCUCGCACCGCCAACUCAAGCAGUGGGUGCGAUAAGUGAGCGCAGCGGAGCCGUCCGUCGAGUCGCGCAAGCCUCUGAAGUGGUCCAGCACGCCCAUCAUCUUCGAUGUUGAGGAUCACCCUGAUCGCAUCACUGCGGUCGGGUGCUUGCCAAUGUUGGUCUCACCAACAAUCCGCAACCUCAAGGUCACGAAGAUGUUGGUUGACGGCGGGGCCGGCCUGAAUCUGAUUUCCUCCGCAGUGCUCAAGAAGCUCCAGAUCCCCGACAGUGAGCUCGAAGAGACUGGUACCUUUCAAGGAAUAAACCCAGGAAGGAGCAAGCCGAAGGGGAAGAUCACACUGCCAGUGACGUUUGGCAGCGAGCUGAAUUUUAGGACAGAGAGGAUCACAUUUGACGUCGCCGAUUUCCCAUUGCCCUACAAUGGGAUACUCGGCUGACCAACGCUUGCCAAGCUCAUGGCAGCCUCUCACUACGCAUACAAUGUGCUCAAGAUGCCUGGUCCGAUAAGUGUCAUUUCUGUCCAAGGCGACAAGAAGGACGCACUUAUCUACACCGACAAGAUCUACCGAGAAGCAGCAGCCGCAGAAGAGCGCGAGCCACUUGCCGCUGAAGCUCCCCGGGGGAAGAAGAAGGCCAAGUCCGGCAAGAGUAGCAGCUCUGGUACCCAUUCCGGCAAGCGCACCUCUUCGGAGUGCUGCGCUACCGUCGAGGACGCACCAUCGAGCUCCACCGGCAAGUGCAAGAAGGCAAAGGCAGUUCUACCAAAGACUAAACCCGGCGAGAACAGCUCUGGUGCCUACUCCGGCAAGCGCACUUCUCCGGAGUGCCGCGCCGCCGUCGAGGACGCGCCAUCGAGCUCCACCGGCAAGUAGAGCAAAGAGAGCAGUCGGUUUCAAACUUUUGAGUCGUAUUCCUUGAAAGACCGUACCUUGUAUGGAAAACCUGUGCGCAAAGGGGUCGAAUCGUGGCUAAGUUGCGCCCUUGAUCUGUUUCGAGUCCGCUCAACAAUGAAAGCACGCUGCAACUAGCCCGACGAGGUUUUCCUGCCGGAGGCAACACCGCCAGCGGGCUGCUGAUGUUCCGCACUCAGCAAGUGUGUUUGCACCGACGGGUUCCCUGAAAGCGUGAGGGUGAAAACAUACAAGGAAGGGAAUCAAGGGAGAAGUGCGGCCUUGCCGGAGCGCAGAAGAGAGAAAAGCUAAGUUGCCCAAGUUUGAGUAUAGAGCACCUUCAGUUUUAAAUUUUUAUGUUAUAUUCCUUGAACGUCCGUGCCUUGUAUAAUAAAAAAAACCUGUGCGCGGAGGAACCAACUCGUGAUUAAGUUGCGCCCUUGCUUUGUUUCGAGUCCGCUCAACAAUGAAAGUGCGCUGCAACUGACACAACAAGGUUUCUUGCCGGAGACAGCACCACCAGCGGGCUGCUGAUGUCCCGCACUCAGCAAGCGUGUUAGCACCGGCAAGUCCCCUAAAAGCGUAGGGUAAAAACAUACAAGGGAUGUGAUGGGGUAAAGGAUGUAACAUAGCGAGCCUUGUCGUGGGACGCCCUUUGUAUGGGAAACUUGUGCGCGGAGGAGCCGGCUCGUGGCUAAGUUGUGCCCUUGAUUUGUUUUCGAGUCCGCUCAACAAUGAAAGCGCGCUGCAACUAGCCCGACGAGGUUUCUUGCCGGAGGCAACACCGCCAGCGGGCUGCUGAUGUUCCGCACUCAGCAAGCGUGUAUGCACCGGCAAGUCCCCUAAAAGCGUAGGGUAUAAACAUACAAAGGGUGAAACAUAGCAUUACAUUACCCAACAUGAAGCUACGUUACAAAAAGUAACUUAUUACAGCGCUGUCUAAGUUGUUCUCGUGACUGGAAUAACAGCGACAGGAAAAGAGCAGAAGGGCGCACUGGCACCUGGGCCCCGGCAAACCGGCAUUGCUGGGGGCUGCGAGUACCAAGAUUCCUUCGCGGCAAGCCAGGGUCGCCGGGGGCUGCGAUGCCAGCGGCAAGAACAAAAGAAAAGGGCGCAGGCUCCUGUGUCCCGACAAGCCAGAGUUGCCGGGGGCUGUGAUAUCAGAUAAGUUUUUCAUCCCUCAUCAUGCAUCCUCUUAUGGACUGGAGAAUGCGAGGCCGCAUCCUUGAACGAGCGUGCCUUGUAUGGAAAAACCUGUGCGCGGAGGAGCCGAAUCGCGGCUAAGUUGCGCCCUUGAUUUGUUUUCGAGUCCGCUCAACAAUACAAGUGCGCUGCAACUGGCCCGACAAGGUUUCUUGCCGGAAACAGCACCGCCAGCGGGCUGCUGACGUUCCACACUCAGCAAGUGUGCUUGCGCCGGCAAGUUCCCUCGAAGCGUAGGGUGGAAACAUACAAGGCACAGAAUCAAGUAAAGGAUAUAACCCGGCAAGCAUUCCCCUCUUUUCAUUAAAAAAAACAUCCCAUUCCAGUACAAGUCCAUAGAGGAUGAAAAACAUGAAAGAGAGGAUUACAAGUUUUAAAUGCAGCUAAGGCCCGAAGGCUUACAAAUUGAAAAGAUAAGAUGCCCGUAAUCCCUCUCCUGUUUCUCUCUUCAGGAGGUAGGUCAAGGAGGCCCCGGCAAGAGAAGUUUGCCGGGAAGGGCAAAAGGGGCGCCUAUGUGAGCUACGGGUGCCAGAAGACACCAAGAGAACAUCCCGGGGGCCGGCCAGGGGCUUGGCGGAGACGGAGGCACCGGAAGCAGAGCUCGAAGACGGGGCGGCAGGACGUCAGCACGCUGUCGAGGGCACCACGCCCUCGUACUCCGACUUGACGGCCUUGCCGCCACCCCUCUUCCUCUUUUGCAGCCUCCCUACGCCAGCCGCCCAAGGAGACGACCCCGGGGAGUUCAGAAGGCCGGCGACCCGGAUGAUGGGGUCGCCGGUGGCGCGUGAGGCGAUGGCCGACGCCUAGUCGAGCCCACCGCCGUCCUCGUCGUCGCUGUCGCUCUCCUCCUCAUCACUCUCGCUCGAGGGGGAGUCUUCGCUAUCGGAGGAGCUGUCCACGCAGCAUCUCGCCCGGGUGCCGGAGUCCCCGAAGACCUUGACGGCGAGAAGGUCGCUCUCCAUUAACUUAAAAUGGAGGGUGAACCCCGCCGUCAAGCUGUGGAUGCGAGCGAACGUCUUCCACCCUCGAUCAAGAUACAUCACGCCGGGGGCUGGGGAUACGACACUAACUCGCGUGCCGCUGAUCCCGCAGCCCCUCAUGCGCAAUUCCAGCGUCUCGGGCAGGUCCGGCUCCAUCGCGCUCGCAAACGGAGCCGGAAGCCGGAGGUGACGACGAGGUGCCCGGUGCAGCUUGACGAAGAACUCCCAAGGGUCGUCCCCCGUGUGGACCGCCGGGAGGAGAGGAACCGCCGGCGGAGGCGACGCCGACGCGCCGCCCCGACCGCCUCUUCCCCGCGCACCUCGACCUCGCCCUCGGCCUCGCCCACGGCCUCGCCCCCUCCCUCUCCCCCUCGGGGCUGGUUCUGCCACCACGGGCGCGGGAUAGGGAGGGAUGCGCUGCCUGGCGGCGACUCUCGCCGCCACCAAUGAAGGACCCGGGUUCCCUCCCUCCAUGGCGGAUGAGAGGAAGGAUAACAGAAGUUGAAGGAAGGAGAAGAUGAGGAAGUGCGGGAUUUUUGCGCUCCCCUUCCACCCCUUUUUAAGGAGCAAGGUGGGGGCUCGACCGCCCCGCUCAGCCAAUCAGAGCACGGGGAGAGCAGGGAGUCGGGGCCGACCCGCUGCCUCCUCCCGUGACGGCUCGAUUUCCCACUUCCACCGCCCACGACCCCACGCGCAUGGGGGCCGCGUGGCGAAGAUGCAGAGCCGAGACGACGGGUGAGGAGGCCUCGCCCCCACCCCGUGAUCACAAGGGAGGGCGCCUUGAAAAUUGCACACGCCCCCCGCGCCUCCCACGACGCCGCAAUUGACGCGUGCCGUUACGGGGGGGGGGGGUGCGGUGGAUUCGAAGCGGAUUCGGCUAGGAUCCAGGCCGCGCGUGCCCGUGCACUAUUUUGGGCCUGGCCCAACAACGCUCGGCACCGUGUAUGGCCCAGGCCCGGGGGCUCCUAUCGGUGUACUAAAGUAGGGGUACCUUAGUACCCCGAACUUGUGCACGGGCAGUUGUAGCACCCCGCGGCAAGGCUUGCCGGGCACCCGCCAAGACCCUCCGUCAUUUCCUAUUGCUGCCAUUCAAGAACAAAGUAUCAACUGAGAAGACAAAGACCCCGGCAAGAGGAGCUUGCCGGGAAGGCCAACCAAGGCGCCCCUAAGAAGACUUGCCGCGACGCCCCGCGCGUCCCGGCAAGGCCCAGCGACCGGCAAGCUUGCCGGCGCGACAAGAGAAGGGCCGCGGCAAGGUGCUUGCCGCGGCAAGGCUGCCACCCUGCACCCAAACUCCAGCGCAUCCAGCGACAUGUCGCCCCAGGGCCAUCCCAGGAGCACGUGGCGAGGCGCUGCGCAGCCAUGCAGAGCGAGGUGGCAAGCGAAGCUGACAAGGAGGCCAUCGUGGCAACCGGUGGCGCACCUAACGGUCGUUUCGUUGCACUGUUGGGGCGACCGGACGGGCAUUAAAUGCCCUUGUCCCCUGCCGUCAGAGUUAGGUAGGGGACACUGUUGGACACUGUUGUACCAACCUGCUUUUUUACCUUUCUACCCCUCUUCCUACACUGCCACCUGUCGGUGACCCCCUUAGACUAUAAAAGGGAGGCCCAUGCGCACGUAGAAGGGGUUCCGCAGUUCGUAGAUCCAACACCACUAUACGCUCGCGCUCUCGAGCAAGAGCAAAUACAAACACAAAGCAGCAGUAGGAGUUUUAUCUCCCCGGAGAGCUCCGAAGCUGGGUAAAAAAUCGCCCGUCUGCCCCGCGCGCUCGACCUCGAUCUGCUCUGCGCACGCCCUCUGCUCCCUCGCCGGACUAGAAGGGCCCCCUGCCCCAUAGGUGCUCGAGGCCACAGAGCGCCCCGACAUCUUUGGCGCGCCAGGUAGGGGGGCGUCGAGGUCGUGGGCAUCUGAUCCGGUCUCCGCGCGCGUUACAUCAACGCCUUCAUCAACAUGCCACCAAAGAAGAAGCCUUCGGAGGUGGCCGCUCCGGUGGAGUGGACGCCGGCAGAGGAGCGGGCGCCGACGGUGGGACUCACGUCGUCACCAGGUCCAAAAACAAGGCCCCGCAAGCGUCGGCGACCGUGUAGACACCGCACCCUUCCUAGGAGGUGCAAGGUCGACAACGCCCCGGUGCUCCUAGCACCGUGCUCGCAUUGGAGCAAGGCCAAGCUGGUGGGUCGCGAGACGUUCGAGACCAGCAUGCACGCCAGCAUGCUGGCGCGAGUGAGGUACGGUCGCCCAGACGGGGUGUUGCUCCUUCCAAUCCAGUUGGGAGUCCGAGCACAUCCCGCUCCUUGCGCCGCUCGUCGCCGCCACCAUCCAAGACUGCAGAGGAAGCGCUGGCCCGAGCCCAGCUGCUUCUAGAUUACCCUCCGGCGCCACACAAGAUUGACGACUGGAGGAUGACCAUUUAUAGUCUCAUCGGCUUCGCCAACAGCGACAAGCCCGGGCAACCGAGCACGUCGAAGCCCCGGCGAGACGCCCAGGCGCAAGCCGACGCCGACAAGACCGCUGGGGGUGCCACCUCCAUGCACUCCCAGCCCCGAAGGCCAAGAUCGCCGACUCGCCGGGCCAACCCCGACGCCGACUCCACCGCGUCGUCGGACCCGCGAGCUCGCCACGAUCAACGCCACGUUCUCCAAGAACGACGGCAUGAGGACGCUCGUACUCGCAUCGAGCGCAGAAGAGAAGCGCGGCGUCAAUCUGACCAGCGCGCUGGGCCCACUGUCGAUAUGCAUGCGCCGCGAGUUUUAUCCCCAUGAGUGCUCGCUUAUGAUGAGCUUGAGCAAGAGCAGCUGCGGCGAGAUGACGCGCUGCUCCUCGAGGAGGAUCAUCUUCAGGCUGCUGUGCGAGCUGCUCGCUACCAGCAAGCUUUGCGCCGCUAUCAUAGCCGCAAAGUUAAUGCCAGAAGCUUCGAGGAAGGCGACCUUGUUCUUCGGCGCGUUCAAUCCGCCAAGAAUUCCAACAAGUUGACGCCGAAGUGGGAAGGCCCUUAUCGGGUGAAACGAGUCACUAGGCCCGGCGCUGUCCGCCUUGAGACCGAAGAUGGCGUUCCGGUGAGCAACUCCUGGAACAUUGAGCAUCUUUGCAAGUUUUACCCAAGAGGCGCGGUUGCCGGGCCCCGAUCCGGCAACCAACUUUUGUACAAAGCCUUGCCGCUGUUGCAUGUAAUCCUUUGUACAAAGCCGGGCGCAACUCCCGUGCGUAAAUAAAGUUUAUGUGCCCUGCACAUCUUGUCAAAUUCAGUGCAUCUUUCUUUUUCUUGCACAUAUAUCUGACGCUUUGUGCAGCACUUACCCCCCCGGGGGGGGGGGGGAGGAGGAGAUAAAGGUCUGGACCAGGCGUCGUUCAAAGGAAUCUAGCCUUACCGGGACGAAGCCCGACGUGCCCGAGAAGUACGAUGGCAGGAUACAUCCGUCAGAGUUUCUCAGCAUCUACACCAUCGCGGUGCAGGCUGCCGGAGGACGUGACGAGAAGAUCCUUGCCAACUACUUCCCGCUGGUGCUCAAGCCCAACGUCAGAUCUUGGCUCAUGCACUUGCCGGACGGCUCCAUCUCUUCAUGGGCGGACCUGUGUCAUCAGUUUGUCGGCGCCUUCAUAGGCGGCCACAAACCCCAUGGCCAGGAGAGCGAUCUGCAUCUGCUCGUCCAGAAGGAGGGGGAGCCCCUACGCAAGUACAUACAGAGAUUCAGCCAGGUGCAGCGCAACAUCCCGGACGUCCACCCUGCCGCGGUUAUCAGCGCGUUCCAUCAGAACGUGCGUAACCGCAGGAUGAGGGAGGAGAUGGCGAUGUGCAAGAUCAGAGAUGUCAGCGAGCUCUAUGCUCUGGCCGACAAGUGUGCACGGGCUGAGGAGGGGAGGAAGAUCCCCGGAGAGACUGCAGCAGCAGAAGGGUCUGAUAGUGAGGAUGCCGCCCCGGCAAGGAAGAACCGGAGGCGGAACAACAGGAAAAGAAAGGCUAAGGAUGUGCUAGCUGUCGAGCAUUCCGGCAACGGAGGCGGCUCCGACAAGGCCAAAGCUGACGACUCCGGCGAGGCUGUGGUAGCCGCCGACAAGCAGGAUGGCUCCGGCAAGCGGUAUUGCAAUAUCCACCGCACCAAGGGCCAUGACCUCCAAACCUGCAAGAAAGUUGAGCAGAUGGCAGAGCUACAGAAAGCUGAGUACGAGCGCCGCGACAAGGAGAGAGCCCAGGGAGGUGGCGGAGGAUCCGGCAAGAAGCUUCCCGCCCGGGGAGGGCACCGCGGCAAGGCCAAGCCGCGGCAAGGAGACAGGCCUCCCCAUGGCCGCGACAAGGACGAAGAGGAAGAUGAGGAUGAUGAGAUGGAGGAAG
This 7712-nucleotide long non-coding RNA is filed under the name Triticum aestivum (bread wheat). RNAcentral's name for it is "long non-coding RNA (TAES_LNC007204)". The record is from RNAcentral. Lineage: Eukaryota; Viridiplantae; Streptophyta; Magnoliopsida; Poales; Poaceae.